GGGAGGUGUUUCUGGCCAGAAACUAGCCACACAUCUGGCGAUCUUGCAAGAGGCGACAACUGAUGUCAAUCCUAAAAGGGCAGCAGUCCUAAAGGCACUUUGGAGCUACCUUGGCGAGGAUGUUGGACAUCUCAUCAGGAGUAUAAGGACAUUGAAGGCGAUGACAUCCGGAGAGACCUGCAAAAAUCCACCAUGGGCAUAUAUGUCAUCAACGAGGAGCAUGGAGAAAUUGGAGCUCACGAUGAUAUUGGCAUUAACGUUGAAGGAGUA
Molecule: long non-coding RNA, 270 nt
Organism: Etheostoma cragini (Arkansas darter)
Lineage: Eukaryota; Metazoa; Chordata; Actinopteri; Perciformes; Percidae
Exons: 3
Source: RefSeq, a predicted model, not a curated record